UACGUAGGACCCAAGCGUUAUCCGGAAUCACUGGGCGUAAAGCGUACGUAGGCGGCGCGUUAAGUGCAAUGCGAAAUCCGACGGCUCAACCGUUUGGACUGUAUUGCAUACUGGCGCGCUUGAGGAUGGCAGAGGCAAGUGGAAUUGGUAGUGUAGCAGUGAAAUGCGUAGAUAUUACCAGGAACACCAAUGGCGAAGGCAGCUUGCUGGGCCAUUUCUGACGCUGAGGUACGAAAGCGUGGGGAGCGAACAGG
This 254-nucleotide ribosomal RNA is filed under the name uncultured bacterium. Its description in RNAcentral is "partial 16S ribosomal RNA". It matches the Rfam family "Bacterial small subunit ribosomal RNA", at positions 524 to 776 of the family's 1533-position model. The record is from RNAcentral.